This 460-nucleotide ribosomal RNA is filed under the name uncultured bacterium. Its description in RNAcentral is "partial 16S ribosomal RNA". It matches the Rfam family "Bacterial small subunit ribosomal RNA", at positions 338 to 795 of the family's 1533-position model. The record is from RNAcentral.
CCUACGGGUGGCAGCAGUGAGGAAUAUUGGUCAAUGGGCGUAAGCCUGAACCAGCCAAGUCGCGUGAGGGAUGACGGUUCUAUGGAUCGUAAACCUCUUUUAUAAGGGAAUAAAGUGUGGGACGUGUCCUAUUUUGUAUGUACCUUAUGAAUAAGGAUCGGCUAACUCCGUGCCAGCAGCCGCGGUAAUACGGAGGAUCCGAGCGUUAUCCGGAUUUAUUGGGUUUAAAGGGUGCGUAGGCGGCCCUUUAAGUCAGCGGUGAAAGUCUGUGGCUCAACCAUAGAAUUGCCGUUGAAACUGGGGGGCUUGAGGAUGGUUGAGGCAGGCGGAAUUCGUGGUGUAGCGGUGAAAUGCUUAGAUAUCACGCAGAACCCCGAUUGCGAAGGCAGCCUGCCAAGCCAUGACUGACGCUGAUGCACGAAAGCGUGGGGAUCAAACAGGAUUAGAUACCCCAGUAGUC